CAUGUAGGCGGUUUUUAAGUCCGGAGUGAAAAUGCGGGGCUCAACCCCGUAUGGCUCUGGAUACUGGAAGACUUGAGUGCAGGAGAGGAAAGGGGAAUUCCCAGUGUAGCGGUGAAAUGCGUAGAUAUUGGGAGGAACACCAGUGGCGAAGGCGCCUUUCUGGACUGUGUCUGACGCUGAGAUGCGAAAGCCAGGGUAGCAACG
RNAcentral lists this ribosomal RNA (204 nucleotides) under uncultured bacterium. RNAcentral describes it as "partial 16S ribosomal RNA". It matches the Rfam family "Bacterial small subunit ribosomal RNA", at positions 568 to 773 of the family's 1533-position model. The record is from RNAcentral.